AGCGCAGGCGGAAAAAUAAGUCUAAUGUGAAAGCCCUCGGCUUAACCGAGGAACUGCAUCGGAAACUGUUUUUCUUGAGUGCAGAAGAGGAGAGUGGAACUCCAUGUGUAGCGGUGGAAUGCGUAGAUAUAUGGAAGAACACCAGUGGCGAAGGCGGCUCUCUGGUCUGCAACUGACGCUGAGGCUCGAAAGCAUGGGUAGCGAACAGGAUUAGAUACCCUGGUAGUCCAUGCCGUAAACGAUGAGUGCUAAGUGUUGGGAGGUUUCCGCUUCUCAGUGCUGCAGCUAACGCAUUAAGCACUCCGCCUGGGGAGUACGACCGCAAGGUUGAAACUCAAAGGAAUUGACGGGGGCCCGCACAAGCGGUGGAGCAUGUGGUUUAAUUCGAAGCAACGCGAAGAACCUUACCAGGUCUUGACAUCUAGUGCAAUCUGUAGAGAUACGGAGUUCCCUUCGGGGACGCUAAGACAGGUGGUGCAUGGCUGUCGUCAGCUCGUGUCGUGAGGUGUUGGGUUAAGUCCCGCAACGAGCGCAACCCUUGUUAUUAGUUGCCAGCAUUAAGUUGGGCACUCUAAUGAGACUGCCGGUGACAAACCGGAGGAAGGUGGGGAUGACGUCAAGUCAUCAUGCCCCUUAUGACCUGGGCUACACACGUGCUACAAUGGGCAGUACAACGAGAAGCAAGCCUGCGAAGGCAAGCGAAUCUCUGAAAGCUGUUCUCAGUUCGGACUGCAGUCUGCAACUCGACUGCACGAAGCUGGAAUCGCUAGUA
RNAcentral lists this ribosomal RNA (772 nucleotides) under uncultured Bacillota bacterium. RNAcentral's name for it is "bacterial SSU rRNA". It matches the Rfam family "Bacterial small subunit ribosomal RNA", at positions 568 to 1340 of the family's 1533-position model. The record is from RNAcentral. Lineage: Bacteria; Bacillati; Bacillota.